AACAAACGCUGGCGGCGUGCCUAAUACAUGCAAGUCGAACGAAGAAAGUCCUUCGGGACAAGUAAGAGUGGCGCACGGGUGAGUAACGCGUGGAUAAUGUGCCUUUUAGUGGGGAAUAACUUAUCGAAAGGUAAGCUAAUACCGCAUAAGACCACAGUGACCGAGGUCACAGGGGUUAAAGAUUUAUCGCUAAAAGAUCAGUCCGCGUAAGAUUAGCUUGUUGGUGGGGUAAUGGCCUACCAAGGCUUCGAUCUUUAGCUGGUUUGAGAGGAUGAUCAGCCACACUGGAACUGAGACACGGUCCAGACUCCUACGGGAGGCAGCAGUAGGGAAUAUUGCACAAUGGAGGAAACUCUGAUGCAGCGACGCCGCGUGAGUGAUGAAGGCUUUAGGGUCGUAAAGCUCUGUCGUAAGGGAAUAUUAUGAAGGUACCUUACAAGAAAGGACCGGCUAACUUCG
Molecule: ribosomal RNA, 459 nt
Filed under: uncultured Bdellovibrio sp.
Lineage: Bacteria; Pseudomonadati; Bdellovibrionota; Bdellovibrionia; Bdellovibrionales; Pseudobdellovibrionaceae
Description: bacterial SSU rRNA
Rfam family: Bacterial small subunit ribosomal RNA
Source: RNAcentral